UACUAAUUUGAUGCCUAAAGCC
This 22-nucleotide non-coding RNA is filed under the name Arabidopsis thaliana (thale cress). Lineage: Eukaryota; Viridiplantae; Streptophyta; Magnoliopsida; Brassicales; Brassicaceae. The record is from RNAcentral.